AUUGAACGCUGGCGGCAUGCCUAACACAUGCAAGUCGAACGGAGGUAGGGGCAACUCUACUUCAGUGGCGGACGGGUGAGGAAUGCGUCGGAAUCUACCCUAUGGUGGGGGAUAACACAGGGAAACUUGUGCUAAUACCGCAUAAUGUCGAGAGACCAAAGCAGGGGACCGCAAGGCCUUGCGCGGUAGGAUGAGCCGACGCCCGAUUAGCUAGUUGGUAGGGUAAAGGCCUACCAAGGCGACGAUCGGUAGCUGGUCUGAGAGGAUGAUCAGCCACACUGGGACUGAGACACGGCCCAGACUCCUACGGGAGGCAGCAGUGGGGAAUAUUGGACAAUGGGCGCAAGCCUGAUCCAGCAAUGCCGCGUGUGUGAAGAAGGCCUGCGGGUUGUAAAGCACUUUUGUUCGGGAAGAAAUCAUGCUGGUUAAUACCUGGUAUGGAUGACGGUACCGAAAGAAUAAGCACCGGCUAACUUCGUGCCAGCAGCCGACGG
Molecule: ribosomal RNA, 494 nt
Filed under: uncultured bacterium
Lineage: Bacteria
Description: bacterial SSU rRNA
Rfam family: Bacterial small subunit ribosomal RNA
Source: RNAcentral